CGUCAUCCGGCCACCCCGGCACGCGCCGGAAGUGCCUCGCGACGCGGGGCCGCCACCGCCGCCGGGCCGAGGGAGGGCCCGGCAACCGCCGCCUGCGCGCCGGCUGCCCCUCGGCUCCUGGGAGCCGCGGCGCUACGGGCCUGCCGAGCACUCGGGCGGGCGCCGAGCAGGCUGGGCCCCGGCGCAGUGGCCUAGCCUGGACCGCAAGGCCGAAGCCGCCUCCGGGCCGCGUCCCGGUGUUUCGGGUUGUGUAACCUUGGCCAAAAUGCUUAAGCUUUUUUCCUGGCUGCCAAAUGGGGCCGAUCGUCUGACCUGCUGCCUCCGGAACUUGAGGGAUCAGAUCAAAUAACCCUUUCCUGGCGCUCGUCUGCCGCUGUGAAUGAAUCACGGGCUCCUGUAAUCACCGUUAGGAGAGAUUGUUAAACUCGUACAGGGUUGGAUGUUUUAAAGUUACUGAAUAUUUACUGGACCCCUACUGUUCAAUCAAGACAUGCUAAGUUAGCUUGCCAUUCUUGUUCAUUUAUGUGUUUACUUAACUAUUUCUGGGUCUCCUCUUCCCAGUCAUAAAUAUCUCUUGGAGUGUAAGCUCCUCGGAGCAGAGAUCCUGUUUCCGUAUUUCCUGUACCUAGAACAGUGCCAGAUCCGUAGUAGACACUGAAACAAAAAAUCUUUAAAAAAAAAAAAAUAUACGAAUGUGGCACCACCAUUUACACAGGCCACUAAGCCAAAAAUCUCGAACUUGUCAGAUUGUCUCUUCUCAGCCAUCAGCAGUCAACAAGUUCUAGCAUUUGGUCUCUUAAAAGUGGUUCAAGAGUUUAUUUUUCCUCUCCUUCCUCUGCCAGUACCAACCAGUCUUCCGUAUCACUAUGUAUUGCAAGAGUCUCACAAGAAGAUAUCCAUCACUGACUGAUCUUCCUCCCGUUUAACAUCCCCAACAGGUGCCAGGGUGAUGUUUUUUUUAUUCUAAAAAGAAACCAGAUUAUAUCGCUCACUCCCUUGCUUAAAACAGUUCUUCAAUGUUAGGUAAAUAAAUCAUGGAGUCACCACGAGGGCGUUCAUCUGCCAGGCACUAUUCUGAACGAUAUUGGCUCAUUAAAUUCUCACAGAAACCCUAUGCAGCAGGUACGGUGAAAAUGUUCCUGUUACAGAUGAGGUAACUGAAGCACAGAGAGCUUGAGUGGCUUGCUGAAACACCAGACCCACUCAGUCUGGCUCCAUAAUAGGUCUUUUUGCUGGUAAUGAUUUACCAACUAUACAGCCACUUUAAAAAAAGGAAAUAGGGCCCUUGUGACUGGACCUCAUGCCAAACAACUCGUUACAAAAAGAGCUAGGGUUCCAGACUGCGCCGAAGCUUCAUGAGACCUCUCCUUGUCUGCAUGGACGAGUGGCCAACUCUGGAGCCCAGGCUGUUGCUUCCCAGUCUGGUGGUGAAUCCUCCAUAGUCUGGUGAGUGUAAAUACAUAUAUAUAUCUUUUCCCUUCUCCCUUCCCAUUGCAAUUUGCUUAUUAUAUCAUUUGCUUAUAUCUGCACUGCCAUUUGGGAUAAAGCUUGUUUACCCUUAAAGGUAUUGUGUGUGUGUCUCCUCCCGCGCGCAUUUCCCACACAGAACACCUAAGAACCUAUUUUUUAUGAUUUUUACGAGAAGUGAAUUCCAAGUUGUGCCUCAGAAUUCAGAAUAUAUCUUUCAACCUCCUACUCAUCCCCUCACCACCCUGGUGAACACAGUGUCUGGCCAGCAGGAAUGAAUGAAGAAGACUAUUUUAUGUUCUUAAUAACUUGCUUGGAAAUGAACAGAGCACAAUUUAUCAAACCAAAGCAAAUAUUUAUACAGGCAGAUCCCUUAAAAUUGAGGAUUAAUGCUUAGGAAGAAUUUUUUAGAAUUUUCCAAAUUAACCACUUGUCUUUCUCAGAAAUAAAUCUGUUACUGAUGCUUCCUCCACCAACCAGCUGCAAAACCACACACUAUUCUUUGAAGGAGGAACACAGAAAACCAACUUACUUCCUGGGGCAUUUGGGAGAGGAAUCUAAAAAUCCUAGUGAUAUGGCAAUGACUAGAACCUUUUUUUUUUUUGUAACAACAAAGCUAAAAGGGGAUGUGUAACUUAGCUUGACUUGUAAAAAUAUUCGUAGAAGUCAUCUAUAUUUUACCACUUUGUGUAACUAAGGCAGAGCAUUAGAGAUUAUUCACAUCAUUAAAUAUGUCCAGUUAAAUUAUUAGAUUACAACACCAACCUCUUGUUCAUAGUCUCUCAGUCUUCAGCUGGGCACGGGGGCUCACGCCUGUAAUGCCACCACUUUGGGAUGCCGAGACGGGCGGAUCACUUGAGGUCAGGAGUUUGAGACCAACCUGGGCAACAUGGUGAAACCCCGUCUCUACUAAAAAUACAAAAAUUAGCUAGGCGUGGUGGCAGGUGCCUAUAAUCCCAGCCACUCGGGAGGCUGAGGCGGGAGAAUCACUGGAACCCAAGAGGUGGAAAUUGCAGUAAGCCAAGAUGGCACCACUGCACUCCAGCCUGGGUGACAAGAGCAAAACUCUUGUCUCAAAAAAAAAAAAAAAAAAAUAGUCUCUCAGUCUUCAUACUUUGUUGCUUAGUUGGAUUAUCUGCUCCUAGGUUUUAAUAUAAGAUGAAAUAAAAGUGCUGGCCUAGGAAUUGGAGGCCAAUUUACCUUAGGGGCAAAGGCAAUGGUGGUGAAUAUACCCAACAGCUUCACUUUCUAUGGAGCCAGCUUGUAAAAUCUUGGGCAAGGAUGGUGGCAGCAGAGCUGUCUGCCUAAGCAUCAUGUAGAAAAUUUUUUAAUGGUUUCUUUGGACCCUAGCUUGCAGUGUCAUUUCUGCUUCUCAUUGUAUUGGAAAUCCAUGGUUUUGUUACAUAAUGUACUCCUAAAAAUGUAUACACAUGUGUUGAGUAUGUGGAAGUUGAAUAUAUUUAUGUUAUAAAUGA
Long non-coding RNA from Homo sapiens (human), 2942 nucleotides. RefSeq lists it as uncharacterized. The transcript has 2 exons. NCBI's taxonomy places the organism in Eukaryota, Metazoa, Chordata, Mammalia, Primates, Hominidae. The record is from RefSeq and is a predicted model, not a curated record.